Camellia sinensis is the source of this 3249-nucleotide RNA transcript. It is a transcript of the gene named ubiquitin-like-specific protease ESD4, with no coding region annotated. The record is from RefSeq and is a predicted model, not a curated record. Lineage: Eukaryota; Viridiplantae; Streptophyta; Magnoliopsida; Ericales; Theaceae.
GAAAAAUUAAAGAACACUCAAAAUCAACCGUGACAACUCUCAAGUCCAAAAUCGAUGAUGGAGAUUGGUUUCGAAAGUGUUUGCAUUUCUGUUCUUCUCUCAAUCUGUAGCUCAAUUUGAGCAAUUCAAAAAGCUUUUCAAAGAUCUCAACAUCAAGUUUUCGUCCCUUUUCGCGCUGCCAAAUUUCCCAAAAAAUCUAGGGUUUUUUUGGGGGGGUUUAAUCUGUAAAUCCCAUGUUUGUUGAAGAUAGCAAUGUUUAGAUGUGGCAGUGUUGUUGUUUUUUCCUUCUAGGGUUUUGCUAAAUUUGAGUGGAAUCAAUGGGUGCCCUAACGAGCAAUCGAAAGCGCGGUGACGAUUACUUCACGAAUUACAAAUUCCCAUCUUUAUUUCCUCCCAAUUUCGAUACUCGAAUCGAUUCUCACAUCUCGAAGAAGCCCAAGAUCUCAUCGUAUAUGAAUCUGAGUCCCGAAUGGUCUGUUUCCAACUCGAAAAGUGCGGCUUCCAGGAUAUACCGAUACCCCGAACCAGUUAAUCCGUUUCAGAGGAAAGUCCAUGCUCCUUGUAGAGCCUCCAGAUUAGGGUUUUGGUUUAGUUCUAGUUCGAAUCGAGAGUCGAGGCCGAGUUGUAAUGGGGUUGUGAAGAAAGAGGGUUUAGCUGAUUUAAUGGGGAAUGCUCUGAGUUUUCGAUACGAUCAGGCAAAGAAUUGCGCUUUCGAGACUCUUCGGUAUCUGAAAAAGGAUAAGGAAGUGAUUGAUGUUGAUGAAGAGACCGAUAAAGAUGGUGUUUCUGAGGAUUCGAGUAUUGAGGAGGCUGGAGCUGUAGAAGAUGGGCGUGAAUGCAAGUCAGUGGUUAAUAGGGUUGUGCCCAUUUUGCCUGAAUUGGAUGGGAAGGUUGUGGAGGUUAAUUUUCAGCCCUCUUCAUCUUCGGUGGUUACUGAAUUGGCGGCGAAUGCGAAUUUGAAAGUGGAAACGGCGGGGAAGAUGUUGGACUCGCUUUCGCUGAAUCGGGAAGUAGAUGUUUCGGGUUUGCCAGUGCACAAAAAGUUGUGGGAGACUGCAGAGAGGCGGAACCCUAAGCUGAGCAGCUUGAGUUUUCAAAUUGAAGUAAAUGAGAAGCGCCGUGCUUCACUUCAGCUACUUCGCCCCGUGAAGAAGCCAGUGGAGGAGGACGUACUUCAAGACGUGCUUCGCGAAGCUUUUGUGCCUCUCACGAAGGAAGAAGAGGCUGAGGUUUCUCGAGCAUUAUCUCAUUCCAGUCGGAGGAAGGUUUUGGUUGCUCAUGAGAUCUCUAAUAUUGAGAUCACUGGAGAGGUUUUGCAAUGUUUGAGACCAGGGGCAUGGUUGAAUGAUGAGGUCAUAAAUAUGUAUCUUGAAUUACUAAAAGAAAGGGAAAAGAGGGAGCCCAAAAAGUUUUUGAAGUGUCAUUUCUUCAACACAUUCUUUUACAAGAAGUUAAUCAGUGGGAGGAAUGGCUAUGAUUUUAAAUCAGUCAGAAGAUGGACUACUCAAAGGAAAUUGGGAUAUUGUCUUCUUGAGUGUGAUAAAAUAUUUGUUCCUAUCCACAAAGAAGUUCACUGGUGCUUAGCAGUUAUAAACAAGAAGGAUGAGAAGUUCCAGUAUCUUGAUUCGCUCAGAGGAAUUGAUACUCGAGUGCUGAAAGUUCUGGCUAGGUACUUUGUGGAUGAGGUGAAGGACAAGAGUGGAGAAGACAUUGAUCUUAGUUCGUGGAAGCAAGAAUUUGUUGAGGACCUUCCUGAACAGGAAAAUGGAAAGUAGUUUUCAGCUAUUUGGUUAUAUUGAUUCAUUGGAUGGCGAACGACACCGCUUUGCACAGGAAUUGGUUAAAAGGGAAGUUUUGAGAAGUUACUUAACUUUAACUUGUGUCUACUUAUCAUUGAUAGGAAAUGUACUUUAUCUCAAGAGGAUGCAAAUAUUUCUUCAUGUUGUCUGGGGAAAUUCCAGAAACUCUUACCGAAAAAAAAAAAGAAAAUUGCAGAAGAAUAAAAUUUGUGUUUUUGUAUGUGAGGACUUCAUUAGAUCUGAUGAAUGGUUUCUAAAACUGACCUAAGAAAAAUUACUGCAAAAAUUAGGGUUUAAGCGCACAAUUACUUGUUUUCCAUUCUGUGGGCAUAAUUCCUGUCAAUUAUAUAGGCUAUCUUGUCUUCAUAUGUCCGUAAUUCACAUUCAAUUUCUGCUUUUGGGGCUGUUUGUUACAGCUUUUAGGAGUUGAUUAUAGCUUAUUUUAAUUUGGGAGUAUAUGCCAGACUGUUUGGUGCAGCUUCAACUUAUAGCUUAUUAGGCAGAAACAGCUUAAAUAAGCUGAAAAAACUAAUUAUUUGAAAGCUGGGGAAAGGGUGCUUUUAGCUUUUGCUUUAUGAUUAUUAGCUUUUAGCUUAAAAAAAGCACCACCAAACAGGGCCUUUGCCUUGGCAUUGUGGUUUCUUGGAGCAAUCCUUGAUUGGGUGGUCAUUUGCCUUUGGUGCUGAACCAUCUUAUCUGACUUCGUUGUGUUUUUUGUUGGUGGUGCCUCAAACUGUUUUUUUGGGUGGGUAUCCUCAAACUGUUCAUUUGUUUCUAAGUACUGAAAUGGCUGAUAUUCUUUCUCUGGAUAGGUGGGAUUGCGGCAUGUUCAUGAUCAAGUAUGCUGACUUUUAUAGCAGGGGUUUAGGACUCUGCUUCAACCAGGAACAUAUGCCAUAUUUUCGCCUACGGACUGCCAAGGAGAUUUUAAGACUGAAAGCCGAGUGAUGAUAUGAAUUUGAUUAUUUGGAAUUUGAUGCAUUGUUGUCAUCUCCCUUCUACAUUGGCAGAAAAUGGAUCUGCAUUGGAAGUUUGAUGGCAGUGAAGUUGUUGGGCAUGUGUUUAUGGAGGAUCUGUUUGCUUCAAUCAAAGCUUCUGGUGUGAAGGCAGUGUCGAGGUUAUGGUUAGGAGUUGGCUCGUUUCAUGGACAAAAUGGUAAAGAUGAUUUUGUCCGGGAAACCAUGUUAAAAGGCACAAGGGAAUCUGUACAAGGUAGGACAGGCAAUUUGUUUGUAGCUUAUCAAACCACAUGAGUUUUGUGAAAUUUAUCUUUUUGUAGGUCUGAGUUUGGAAUUAGGGUUCUUUAAACAAUUCAUUUUUCUUUUUUAUUUUGUUACUUUGGCUUCAUACUGGUGAUUUAAGUUGUUUUCACAAAUUCAAGAUCCAAACAGAAGUUACUGUUUUAUAGUAUUGCAAUUGUAAUGACAAGCAUGCAUCUCUUGACCCAUUC